UCAGAAAAACUUUCUCAGAUGUGAUUCUUUAAAUUAAUGAUAAUUUACAUUAGUAUAUUUAAAUCUUCAUGUAUACAUAAAAUUUCACUUUUCCCCCUCAAAAUACCAUUUGGGAAAGAGAAGGGAGAGCAUUAGAGUUUGCUCUGAAUUUUCAGAGUUGUGAAAUAUUUGUGCUUUAGAUACACUGAUAGUUGCUGUUUCAUUCUUUGUCUUUUAUUUUACAAGAAUAAUGACCUCUCAGAAUGAAAGCUUCUGGUUCUGUCUUAAAUGCAAUUCUGUGGAGAACUGAGUACCUGUGAGCAAACUUUUACCUCUAGGCCCUGCAGUACAAUGUUGAAUAGAAGUGCCGAUGAUGGUCAUCUCUGUCUUGUUCUAAACCUCAGAGGAGCUGGAAAGUAUUUAGCUAUCAACAAAUGAAUUCUACACUUGAACUCUGCCUCAUUCCUGUGCCACCUCCUCCUCUAGAAAAUUGACGUUUAAAACAGGUAAGACUAAGUCUAACU
This is a long non-coding RNA of Ochotona princeps (American pika), 503 nucleotides long. RefSeq lists it as uncharacterized. The record is from RefSeq and is a predicted model, not a curated record. The transcript has 3 exons. NCBI's taxonomy places the organism in Eukaryota, Metazoa, Chordata, Mammalia, Lagomorpha, Ochotonidae.